AUUGAACGCUGGCGGCAGGCCUAACACAUGCAAGUCGAACGAGUGGCGGACGGGUGAGUAAUGUCUGGGAACCUGCCUGAUGGAGGGGGAUAACUCCUGGAAACGGUAGCUCAUACCGCAUACCAUCCUAUGUGCCCCGAUGGGAUUAGCUUGUUGGUGGGGUAAAGGCCUACCAAGGCGACGAUCCGUAACUGGUCUGAGAGGAUGAUCAGGAACACGGGAACUGAGACACGGUCCAGAGUCAUAAGGGAGGAAGCAGUGGGGAAGAUUGGACAAUGGGCGAAAGCCGGAUCCAGCCAUGCCGCGUGUGUGAAGAAGGUCUUCGGAUUGUAAAGAACUUUAAGUAGGGAGGCGUUACCAACAGAAUAAGCACCGGCUAACUUCGUGCCAGCAGCCGCGGUAAUAC
RNAcentral lists this ribosomal RNA (406 nucleotides) under uncultured bacterium. RNAcentral's name for it is "partial 16S ribosomal RNA". It matches the Rfam family "Bacterial small subunit ribosomal RNA", at positions 30 to 526 of the family's 1533-position model. The record is from RNAcentral.